GUCCGUUUCCACUAACACCUGGUGCCAGGCAGCCCAUCACCAUAGAGGCCACAAAGAGAAGUCCUCGGUCCAUUCCUACAUGGGAACAUGGAGGCAGGGCGUGGAUUACCGGUAAAGUCCCCUGCUGUUCCCUGAUUUUAAGAGGUGAUGACCAGUCCACUCUACUACCAUUGUCAACUCUGUCCUGACAUGAACUUAAGCCACGUCUCAUGUGCCCGCUCAUCCACUGGCACGUUGCAUGUUUCCUCUCCAAGCACUGCAAAUCCUGCAUUGAAGUCAAGCCUGUGAACACCUCAACUCAUGCCUCAUACACUCAUUCAACUGUGUAGCUAGCCCUCUCAUUCCCAAUCCCCAUAAUAUUGUACUAUACAUAUCUUUAUUAAAUGCUUCAGGUUAAAAUAACUAUUUUGAUGAUUUUUGAUACACAUUUUGACAUCUCUGUGCGCUCAGCGCCUAUAUCGUGGGUCUCCCAUCCUCCUCAAUUUUUCAAGUCACCAGCCUCCAUUGGUGCAGGAGUACAGGUUAGUUGAGGUAAUUGAGGUAAUGUGUACAUGUAUGUAGGGGUAAAGUGACUGC
This is a long non-coding RNA of Oncorhynchus tshawytscha (Chinook salmon), 576 nucleotides long. RefSeq lists it as uncharacterized. The transcript has 4 exons. The record is from RefSeq and is a predicted model, not a curated record. NCBI's taxonomy places the organism in Eukaryota, Metazoa, Chordata, Actinopteri, Salmoniformes, Salmonidae.